AUGUAUCCUAUGACUGUGUUUCACGUGUGUAUCUGGAUUGCCUGAUGAAGAGUAAGUUCAGACGGCUAGAGAAGAGAUGGGGAAAUGUCGGACAAAGGAUGAGAGAGUACGCUCUCAAUUUUCACAACACAUUCACUGAACUGAAUGGCAGUGAUGACCAGAGGAACCAUCUCCUUCAGAGACUCAGUGAAGUUUUGCUUCACAGUGAUGUAGAAGCACUGAAGAUUACCUGUUGUGCUUUGUUCAGAGAUUUCCCUCAGGAGAGUGAACAGUAUGUACCUGGUCUGCUGCGCUGGAAGGGGGUGUUAUCAGAGCAACAGCUGAGGGAAGUGCUGGAUGUGAGCCGGGACCUCGGCCUCGAUCUGAAGCCUAGACGCGUCACCUGUCAGCCUCUGAAGGGACUUUUUUGUUUUCUUUGAUAUGAAUAACAACAUCAGCCAGAGUUGUAAAAUCUUUGUUUACAAGUUUAAUUCGAUGACUGUUUUGUGACAUUCAUUUUUUGAACGUUA
RNAcentral lists this long non-coding RNA (509 nucleotides) under Sinocyclocheilus grahami. Its description in RNAcentral is "lncRNA (ENSSGRG00000040475.1)". The record is from RNAcentral. Lineage: Eukaryota; Metazoa; Chordata; Actinopteri; Cypriniformes; Cyprinidae.